AUGGAAUUUUCCAGGCUAGAAUAUUGGAGUGGGUUGCCAUUUCCUACUGCAGGGGAUCUUCCCGACCCAGGGAUUGAACCUGCAUCUCCUGUGUCUCCUGCAUUGGCAGGAAGAUUCUUUACCACGGAGCCACCAUCACAACGUAAACAGCAUUGCAAUUACUGGAAACUUGCUCUCCCAGCAGCCUGCCUCCAGGACCAGAGGGUCCUGCUGAUGUUCCAAGGAGGUGGGGGAAGACGGGCCAGAGAAGCUCCUCCUUCUCUGCUGUCCUCCAGGAGUGAGCUGGCUGAUUGCUUCAUUCUAAGUGGCUCCUAUGUGUGCGACUUAGUCGUCUCUCAUCAGAUAUACACCACAACCUUGUCUGGUGAUUGCCCGCGUUUGCUGGUUUCAAGCUUUUUUCUCAGUAGUUUUGGGUGUAAAUGCUAUAGUGUGUAUACCAGGAAAGCCAUCCAGCUGUGGUUCUAACUCAGGAAUGCUGGAUUUACCCCUGGGGUCAAAAGAAGAACAGAAUCUAAUUUUUAUUGAAUUAAAAUUAAAAUAUUGAGUUAAAAUGUUAUUGAAAGUAUUCUUAUUGAGUACUUACUACAUGCUAGGGUCUGGGGACACAGGCAGGCAAGACAGCCUUGCUCUGCAUUCUCAUGGAUUUUAUAAUCUGGUGAGGGAUAUAAACAGCAAAAACAAUAGAAAGAAUGAGGUCAAAACACAAAAUAAUAAAAUUACAAAUUGCAAUAAAUGCUGUGUCAGAACAGAAGGUGGCUAAAAUACAAAAAAAAAAAAAAAAAAACCCAAAAACCCAACUAGAUAUUGUUUCAGAGAUUUCCCAGUGCCCUCCAAGAGAGUAUGCUCCUGAACGAGUGGGUCUUGUUAGGACCCACGAACAAUAUCAUAUAUAAUAUCACUAACCUGCCAAACAUCCCUGAAGUGCAUGUUCUCCCUGAUCUGGGACACGGGAAGUCGUUUGUUCCACGUGACACAGUGGGAGCUGGAGGCAAGGCCAGUGCUUUCCCCCGGGCUGUGUUCUAAGGCACAGCGGACCCCUCCUCUCACCUCAGGGGAUGUGGUUGAGUUUAUAGACGACUGUCAGCUCUUGGUGCAAUUCUGCUGUCCUGUCUAUAAGCUCUCUGUCUACCCAACGAAUAAAGGGUGGACUGGAUAGAAUUCCCUCCUUGGGAGAGGCCUCGUACUGUUUGUGAGUGAGCCAGGCCUCUGUGGUUUCCUGGGGCGUGAGUUCUGCAGGGGACGCCUUGUGGCUGGAGGUAGCCUCUUGACUGUCCUGGAGGGUCACUUACCUGUCUGGAACCACUGCCGGUGUCCUCUAGGUUUUGCACAGCCUGUUCCUCACUCUGCUCAUCUUUACUCAGAGCUGUUUACAUUCCGGCUCGGGUGUCUCUACCCAUCAGGACUGCCAGCCCCUUCCCGCAGGUGGAAGUGGGAGUUGAGGCCAUUUGGCCUAGGAGAACAGACUUGGGGUCACAGGUGCCCACCUAGGAGGCGACCCCCAGGCUCAGGCCUCAAAGUACAUGUCCUGGAGAGCAGGAGGAAGUGAGGAAGCUCUGGAAAAUGUGCCCAGGGCCAGGGUAAACCCACUUGUUAAGGAGCAUACUUUCUUGGAGGGCGCUGGGAAAUCUCAGGCUGAGUAAGCAGAGGGAGCACGGGUGAAGGGGGCUGCAUUCGAGCUGGAGCUGGACGUGGGCUGGGGCAGGCUACACCAGGCUGCCAAGAGACUGUUGAUGCGUUCUGCCUGCCCCCAGCCUGCACUCCAUAACAACCAAUAGCUGACUCACCCCAUCGCCCUCUCCUUUUGUACGCAGAAGCACCUCACAGGUUACAAUCAGAUGUUCCAAAAAAUGCCCCCCAAAGCAUAAUCUCCCACAGCAAAAACAAUCCCCACCUCAAGUCCUAGGCAGAAAACUUGCACUUCAUUCUUUCCAAAUAGACUUGCCCACUGUAGUGUUUUUCAGAAUUUUCAGAUUUCAUCCCAGUGAAUUCAGGAUAACUACCUCCACACAUCCUCUUCCCCCUCAUGGGGACCUAAGUGCCCUGGCCCUACAGCAUGUCAGGGAUUGGGGAUGUGAUGAUGGAUGG
RNAcentral lists this long non-coding RNA (2085 nucleotides) under Bos grunniens (domestic yak). RNAcentral describes it as "lncRNA (ENSBGRG00000004800.1)". Lineage: Eukaryota; Metazoa; Chordata; Mammalia; Artiodactyla; Bovidae. The record is from RNAcentral.